ACAGGAAAUUCUUGAUGCAUACCUUUGAUUUUGCUGCAUGAAUCUUCAUUACCCUAAUAUCUGUUGACAUACUGUGAAUCUGGCACAGAAAAAUUUGAACUAACAAUGUUAGAAUGAAUGCUGCGGUUCUAGCUGGAACACUCAGUGUUCAUAGUCUUGAUUACAGCUAUGGAAGGUUUGCCAAAUACAUCUCGUCGUCAUUACGUGGUUUCUUCUUAUGUCAUGGCAUUCUGGAGUCCAUUGUUACCUGAAAUUGCUGUGACUACAAGACUAGCAGAAUGAGGUUCAGGUUAUUCAUAAGGAUCAGCCAAAGAGUACAAAAGAGAUGACAUUGUGAUUAAAUGAAGAAAAGUCAAAAAGUGUGAAAAACUUUAUAUGGAAACUAGUAGCAAAUUUUAGAGGUUUACAGAUACUUUUUCUGAUGUUUGCUAACUAUAAUGAGGUUGAAGAUAUAGCCACUCUACAUAAAGCUGAAAUUUCAAGAUGACACAAUAAGAUCCAUUUUUUUUUCUGGGAAAAUAAUUUUUAAAAAUCCCAGAAGAUUAAAUAAACCAGCUGCGAUACACAUCCUGUGGCAAGAGAGAGACAAUUCAGCAUGCAGACAGUUUAUUUCUUACAUUUCUCCCAAGGAGAUCGAUUCCUUUCUGGAAAGGGUGUAGUGCUAUGGCUGGAGCUUGCAGUGCCAUGGACAUUGGGGUUUUUUUAGAGAUCCUUGGAGUAGCUGCAUAAAAAUUACUAUUUAUAUAGGUUGUAAUGUUACUUCUGUGCCAGUAGUGCUAUAUUAUACAGCUAAACAUCCUGACAUGUAAUACCAGAGAGUACAGAAAGGUACAGAGUGAAAGUACCAGCCAUUUCUAAUUUGUGUUAAUAUCAUAAAGACAGAAUAUUUGACAGAAAAAAAGCCAACUGAAACUACUCAGUACCCAUGAGCAUCACUAUUUAUUAAGCUAACACUUUUCUCAUUCACUACCAUGUGUAAAAAAAAAUGCAUUUAUUAAUGUCAAAAAAACAUUCCAUCUGUUAUCAGGGAUUUUUUUUCCAAGUAUCUGAAUGCCUGUGACAUUGCAAAAAUGUAUUAUGUUUUAUAAAUCCUAUUACUGUUUCAUACAGAGGACUGUGGAAAGGCUACUGUUUUGCUAGAGGCUACCAAAUAUUGCUUUCUGUGUUAUAAUUCACAGUAAUUUGAAAUAAUGAUGACAUUUGGCUUUGGAAUGUACUUUUCUUUAGGCGACCAGAAUUUUUAUGGUGCACUUGAUAGAUGCUAGUAUAAGAAAAGAAAAAGCAAUGAUCACUGUAUGAUUUAUUUUUGCUACAGGUGAACCCUGCAAUUUAGCUCUUGUCAGCAUGCAAAUUGAAGUUGUCUUAUGCUAUUUAGCUUGGUUAGAUAGCACUAAUGUGAUUGCUUAUGCACCUUCUGUUUCAUGGACUUGAAGUGCUCAUUUGAGGCUCAUCAGCAAUAAGCUAUCUUUGGUGACAGCUACUGUAAAUGUACUCUGGAGAAACUGAUUUAAGAAACUAGAGCUUUUCAAGGGCAGCCUACUGGUAUUGUCAGGAGCUGGGAGUCCUGAUGACAUGAGGAACAACAAAUGAGUGAGGGACCUUGCAACCCCAGCUUAACCCAAAAGAUAUUCAG
Molecule: long non-coding RNA, 1633 nt
Organism: Hirundo rustica (Barn swallow)
Lineage: Eukaryota; Metazoa; Chordata; Aves; Passeriformes; Hirundinidae
Exons: 3
Source: RefSeq, a predicted model, not a curated record